GGCCUUUGACUUUGCUCAUGUCAGGACGAUGUUCUCCUCCUGUUCCUGACAUGGCUGUGGGGGCACAUUAGGACGUUGUAAGGCCUCUCCCCCCAUCCGGUCUUAGAGAACCGGGCCUUUGACUUUGCUCAUGUCAGGACGAGGUUCUCCUCCUGUUCCUGACAUGGCUGUGGAGGCACAUUAGGGCGUUGUAAGGCCUCUCCCCCCAUCCGGUCUAAGAGAACCGGGCCUUUGACUUUGCUCAUGUCAGGAUGAGGUUCUCCUCCUGUUCCUGACAUGACUUUGCUUUUGGAGGGAUCAUAUCCAGUCAUAAUAAAUCCAUGCCAGGUGGGAAGGGCACGUUAGGUAGAAAGGAAAGUAGAUUCAAGGUGAAAUCGUAAGUGAUACAUUUACAGUCUUCCCACUCCUCCUUGAGGCCCUCCGGUGAUGGAGUCGAUGGUCCCGAUGGGAGGCCGGUCCCCGGGUUGCUCCUCCCUUCUCUGCGGUUCAGGCUGUGGGAGGGCUCUUGGC
Molecule: long non-coding RNA, 510 nt
Filed under: Elaeis guineensis (African oil palm)
Lineage: Eukaryota; Viridiplantae; Streptophyta; Magnoliopsida; Arecales; Arecaceae
Description: long non-coding RNA (EGUI_LNC062511)
Source: RNAcentral